AGUAGCCACGGUAAUACGAAGGGUGCAAGCGUUAAUCGGAAUUACUGGGCGUAAAGCGUGCGUAGGCGGUGAGUUAAGUCUGCUGUGAAAUCCCCGGGCUCAACCUGGGAAUGGCAGUGGAUACUGGCUCGCUAGAGUGUGUCAGAGGAUGGUGGAAUUCCCGGUGUAGCGGUGAAAUGCGUAGAGAUCGGGAGGAACAUCAGUGGCGAAGGCGGCCAUCUGGGACAACACUGACGCUGAGGCACGAAAGCGUGGGGAGCAAACAGGAUUAGAUACCCCCGUAGUCCCUGUCUCUUAUACA
Molecule: ribosomal RNA, 301 nt
Filed under: uncultured bacterium
Lineage: Bacteria
Description: partial 16S ribosomal RNA
Rfam family: Bacterial small subunit ribosomal RNA
Source: RNAcentral